RNAcentral lists this unclassified non-coding RNA (378 nucleotides) under plant metagenome. RNAcentral describes it as "partial contains 5.8S ribosomal RNA, internal transcribed spacer 2, and large subunit ribosomal RNA". The stretch from base 1 to 105 matches the Rfam family "5.8S ribosomal RNA", at positions 50 to 154 of the family's 154-position model. The record is from RNAcentral.
GAAAUGCGAUAAGUAAUGUGAAUUGCAGAAUUCAGUGAAUCAUCGAAUCUUUGAACGCACCUUGCGCUCCUUGGUAUUCCCUGGAGCAUGCCUGUUUGAGUAUCAUGAAAUCUUCAAAGUAAAUCUUUUUUUAACUCAAUUGGUUUCUACUUUGGUAUUGGAGGUCUUUGCAGCUUCACACCUGCUCCUCUUUGUUCAUUAGCUGGAUCUCAGUGUUAUGCUUGGUUCCACUCGGCGUGAUAAGUUAUCUAUCGCUGAGGACACUGUAAAAGGUGGCCAAGGUAAAUGCAGAUGAACCGCUUCUAAUAGUCCAUUGACUUGGACAAUACUUUUAUGAUCUGAUCUCAAAUCAGGUAGGACUACCCGCUGAACUUAAGC